UCCCUGAUAGCUCAGUUGGUUAAAGAAUCUGCCUGUAAUGCAGGAGACCCAGGUUUGAUUUCUGGGUUGGGAA
This is a transfer RNA of Ovis aries (sheep), 73 nucleotides long. It matches the Rfam family "tRNA". From Rfam's summary of the family: Transfer RNA (tRNA) molecules are approximately 80 nucleotides in length. Their secondary structure includes four short double-helical elements and three loops (D, anti-codon, and T loops). Further hydrogen bonds mediate the characteristic L-shaped molecular structure. tRNAs have two regions of fundamental functional importance: the anti-codon, which is responsible for specific mRNA codon recognition, and the 3' end, to which the tRNAs corresponding amino acid is attached (by aminoacyl-tRNA synthetases). tRNAs cope with the degeneracy of the genetic code in two manners: having more than one tRNA (with a specific anti-codon) for a particular amino acid; and 'wobble' base-pairing, i.e. permitting non-standard base-pairing at the 3rd anti-codon position. Lineage: Eukaryota; Metazoa; Chordata; Mammalia; Artiodactyla; Bovidae. The record is from Rfam.